This 496-nucleotide ribosomal RNA is filed under the name uncultured bacterium. Its description in RNAcentral is "partial 16S ribosomal RNA". It matches the Rfam family "Bacterial small subunit ribosomal RNA", at positions 28 to 507 of the family's 1533-position model. The record is from RNAcentral.
GAUGAACGCUGGCGGCGUGCCUAAUACAUGCAAGUCGAGCGAACGGACGAGAAGCUUGCUUCUCUGAUGUUAGCGGCGGACGGGUGAGUAACACGUGGAUAACCUACCUAUAAGACUGGGAUAACUUCGGGAAACCGGAGCUAAUACCGGAUAAUAUUUUGAACCGCAUGGUUCAAAAGUGAAAGACGGUCUUGCUGUCACUUAUAGAUGGAUCCGCGCUGCAUUAGCUAGUUGGUAAGGUAACGGCUUACCAAGGCAACGAUGCAUAGCCGACCUGAGAGGGUGAUCGGCCACACUGGAACUGAGACACGGUCCAGACUCUACGGGAGGCAGCAGUAGGGAAUCUUCCGCAAUGGGCGAAAGCCUGACGGAGCAACGCCGCGUGAGUGAUGAAGGUCUUCGGAUCGUAAAACUCUGUUAUUAGGGAAGAACAUAUGUGUAAGUAACUGUGCACAUCUUGACGGUACCUAAUCAGAAAGCCACGGCUAACUACGUG